This 305-nucleotide long non-coding RNA is filed under the name Equus caballus (horse). RNAcentral's name for it is "lncRNA (ENSECAG00000053694.1)". Lineage: Eukaryota; Metazoa; Chordata; Mammalia; Perissodactyla; Equidae. The record is from RNAcentral.
CUUCAGCUGAGUGCCAAGUCCGAGCCGCACGGGAACAAGGAAUCCUCUUGGGGGCCGAGGGAGGCAGGCGAGAAAGAGGCAGCAGAGACAUCAUUUUGCGUGUCAUCUGUUGGUCUCACCUCCACCCCCACCCCUGCUAGUAAUACGCUUCAACCAGACCCCGUAGAGAGACACCUCUGCUGCUCAACUGGAGGUCACCCAGAUGCUGGGACGACAGCUGGGGGAGAGGGGAGAGGGCGGCUGGGAGGCCUCAACUCCACCAAAGCAUCGCAGUUUAGAAAACACCAAAUGUCCUUGCAGCAGAG